RNAcentral lists this long non-coding RNA (4272 nucleotides) under Homo sapiens (human). RNAcentral's name for it is "non-protein coding lnc-TMEM30B-1:11". Lineage: Eukaryota; Metazoa; Chordata; Mammalia; Primates; Hominidae. The record is from RNAcentral.
ACUCCUUCCCUGCCUUUCCUACCUAUCACUCUCGUGCUGAAAGUUGGAGCUCCUUACCCAAAGACUGGGCGGAAAGGGUGACCGCCCUGGACCCCUGCCCGACUUCCCGUUAGGCCAAGCCGCUGUCCUGAAAGGGGAUCGUGUCCAGGCCGGCUUCCUGGAGACACACCUGCGCCUGCACACACCCACCGCGGUCGCGUCACCAGUGCCGCGGCCACGUGGACGAAGACCAAAGUCUGGAGGGAAUUCCCUCAGCCACAAAGCGAUGGGAAAGCGGGACCCGGUGGAGACCAGAGUCUUGCUAUGCUUUCCAGGCUGGUUUUGAACUCCUAGCCUCAAGCGAUUUUCCUGCCUCAGCUUCCCAAAGUGCUGGGAUUACAGGCACAAGCCACUGCACCCGGCCCUGUUGUUGUUAAGAAAAUUACAAGUUAAAUCUUGUACCAGUGAACAAGAUUAGGGAUCGUGAUGUGGAGCUGCACUUCCUGGUUCCAAAUCCUGGCUCUUCCCCUCAUCCCUGGGUAAGUUGAGGGAUGAGAGCAAGAGAAGGUUGAUCCUGACUCAGAUCUCUGCAUGGGGCAUGUCACUGAUGACGGCGGCAUUCCCUGAGAGAGGGAACACUAAGUUUGAAGUUGGGCAUAGUGAGCACUAUUUUGGAUGAGUUAAGUUUAGAAGUGCCUGAAGACAUCCAAGUGGAAGAAGUGGCUGCAUGGACUGAAGAUACAGACUGGGAAACGUUAACACCAUCAAGGAACUGGAGUCCUGGGCACAGGUGAGACUGCUCAGGGGAGUUGUAGAAGGAGAGGACACAAGGCCUCAGGCAGAGCUCUGGAGUGAAGGGGUUGUACAGUAGGAGAGAAGGCUGGAGAUUAAGGGGAACAAAGAGAUUGUUGGUGUAUCAAGGGCUGUGCUAUGUAGGGGACAAAGUCUGGGGAUGAAAUGUCAGUAACAUCAUCUUCCAUUAGCUGAUUAAAGAUGAGAGUAAAAAAGCUAGCUCCUGGGAUUGAAAGCCAAUUAAUUUUAUUCUUUUCUAGAGUUAAGACUAGCACCUCAGAUGAUUUGUAAUUUGUAAAUGAAUUUGCGUCCUAUUUGUAAGCAAAUGCUUCUGGUGAUAAGGACCUACAAAUGACAGAACACACUAGACCAGGGGUCCCCAACCCCCAGGCCACGAACAGUUAACAGUCCUGUGGCCGGUUAGGAACCCAGCCACAUAGCAGGAGGUGAGUGGCGGGCAAGCCAGCAUUACCCCCUGAACUCCACUUCCCGUCAGAUCAGUGGCAGCACUACAUUCUCACAGGAGCACAAACCCUAUCCUGAACAGCGGAUUUAAGGGAUCUAGGUCACACAUUCCUUAUGAGAAUCUAAUAUCUAAUUAUGUGAGGUAGAACAGUUUCAUCCUGAAAGCAUCUCCUCCCCUUCCAUGAAAAAAUGGUUUUCCAUGAAACCAGUUCCUAGUGCCAAAAAGGUUGGAGACCACUGCAGCAGACAAAUAUGAGUUCACCAACAUUCUUAGAAAAUCAGCAGCAUAAUGCUCUGAAGUGGAGGUGAAGGAACUGUAUUCUCUCAUUUGACUCAGGAGCCCCAGGCCCAAGUCUAAGUUUGAGAGGGAUUAUUCUUGUGUCACACAGAAAGGAAUAGUUUCUGUAUGCAAGGUAAGUUUCAUAAGACUGUGGAAUUACAUUCUGGAUUUCUCCUUAAUAAACUGUAACAUUGGCAAAUUUUAUAUGAAAAAUAAAAUGUUUCUACCCUGAUUGAAACCAUAGCAUGAAAAUAUUAACUAAUGCACGUUACUUUCUUCUGCAUAGCCUAGCAUUUGAAUGCCAAGUGCUUUCCAUAUUUGAGAUGCACAGUGCCAUCUAAUGGUCACAAACCAUAAGCCAAAAGAAGAAGAAAGGGAAUCAGAACUGAAAUAAUAAUAAAAUAGUAAAAUCUAAUACAUUACAAGCUUCAAAAUUGCAUAGUUAACUGCCCUUGCCUACAAAAAUUUUAUCUUUGCCUUAGUCAUUGUCAUGUGAGUUACAAUCAUGUGAGUUACAAAUGAUCAUAUUGCAUAGAUAACUACAGAUCACAUGUUAAAUUAAAAUAAUUCAUGACAAACCUGAAACCAUAACUUAUAUGCACUUUACAACUUUCUACUUUCACUCUUCAAUCACCUGAAACUAUAAUACAUAGGGUUCCUCAUGCGUAUACACUAUUCCCACAGAAACAAAAUCAUUAGAAAUACCUUGGAUGAAAUAAUAUGUUUAGGAUAGUUUUUUAAAGGGAGGGUAAGAUUAGGGGGAUAGAUAAAAGGAUAUUAUCUUGAUGUCUACAAGUUUAGCAGAUGGCCAGUCUUCUGCAUGGAAAAUGACUAUUCUAACCAUUCUCCCUGCAGCCCUUCAAGACAGAGGAGAUUAUGGGGCUACUGAACGUAUCUUGGACUUUAGAGAAAGAAAGUGAAGCUGAGCUGAGAUCCAUUGGUUCUAUUUUGGAAAGAUGCACCCCGUGGCAUGACCUUCACAGCUCAGUUCUGGGGUCAAAGGAAUUUUCCAUUGCUCACACUGCCACCCAACUCUGGGGGCAUAAGUGUGGAAGUGGUACAGCACACAUGGAGAAGGGAUGGGAGGAGCAGGGGUGUGUAUCAGCUUAGCCGAUCCCCCGAGGAGCUGCCAAGCUUGCUACCCCAAGAACAAUGCCUCAUAGCUCUGUGACCUCUUCAAGAUUAAGGCUCUUUGAUCUCAGCCCUUCUGAAGUGGUUUGAACCAUAUUCUAUACAAAAUUGGUAACUCCCCCAUAAGAAUUGCUUUUUAAAUAUCCUGCUCUAUUUGAAAAAGGAAUUUUAAAAAUAAAGUUUACCCUUUUACUCUCUCCCAGCAAGUGAGAUAUUCAAAACAACAAAAAUUCCUCUAACAUGUUAUGAUGUGGAAACUGGUAUUUUACUGAUUUGUCUUUUCCACUUGGCUUCAAGUUCUUUGGGGAAUGAAGAUCAUAUCAAUCCCUAGCCGACCGCUUCAGGCACAACUGCAAAUGUUUCUUGAAUGAACUUCCAGGCUUACCUGAAUUCUAAGGGGGAUUUCCACCAUAAUGGGAAAGCCACAAGAAAACCAGCAAAGGGUUUAAAAAAAAAAGGGUGAAAAUAUAAGUUAUUUAUCGGGGGUUAUCACUUUAUGCAGAGAGCAUUCGAAACAAUGAUUUCCACAAAUGGGCAGCAACAGUAACAGCCAUACUAAGCCAUUGCUUUCUUUACUUCCUCUUGGUCUAGAAUAUGCUGCAAAGGGAGAAGAAGGAAGACGUGUGGUAUGGAAUCACCUAUGGAUAAGGUUGAGAACCAUGGGCUAGAUGCUAUGGAGACCAACGUAUCACUUACUAGGCUUUACUUUGUGCCAGGCACUGGAUUCGGCAUUACCCCAUUUAAGCCUCACUACCAUCCUUCAUGUUACUAUUCCACGUUGCCGCUCAGGAGAAACAAAAUUUUUUUAUUAAAUUCAAGUAACCUGAGGUCCCAUAUUUAGUAAGAGGCAGAGGAGUUAGAUGUGUCAAUAGCUAAAUUACAUGGCUGUGUCCUCUAGCUGGCCAGGGACUGACAACAUCAGUAUCACCUGGUGACUCUCCCAGGGGAGAUGUUUUUAAAAAUCUUUUCCAGUAAUUCUGUGCAACAUGGCAAUCUGAAACCAGUCUUUCAGACCUGGAAGUUCUUUAGAGACCACAGGACUCUCUUUGAUAUUUUUUCUUUUGAAUUUUUUUAAAAUACAGAAUCCUUUUUCAUGUUCUCUGUUUAUAAAACAACUGCAUGUCAAUUACAUUAUUUUUUAGAAGAUAGGUACAAGAGCCAGGCGUGGUGGCUCAUGGCUGUAAUCACAACACUUUGGGAGGUCGAGGCAGGUGGAUCAUUUGAGGCUGGAAGUUCGAGACCAGCCUGGCCAACAUGGCAAAACCUGUCUCUACUAAAAAUAUAAAAAAUUAGCCUGGAGUAGUGGUGCAUGUCCCAGCUACUCGGGAGGCUGAGGCAUGAAAAUCGCUUGAACCCGGGAGGUGCAGGUUGCAGUGAGCCAAGAUCGCACCACUGCACUCCAGCCUGGGCAACAGAGCAAGACUGUGUCUUGACAGCAACAAAAAAAGAAGAUAGGUAUAGGAAUUAAAAAGAAAGCAAAUAAUUACUGGUAGCCUGACCACUAAGAGAUAUAUACUGAUAUUUUUUUUGCGGGGGGUGCAUCUCCUUGCAGGCCUUUUUGUAUGUUUAUGUUCAAACACAUUUGUAACAACAAUGAAUAAAAAACGCAUAAUAUUCAAUGACUU